UUAGUUUCGUGGGCCAACUAC
This 21-nucleotide non-coding RNA is filed under the name Arabidopsis thaliana (thale cress). Lineage: Eukaryota; Viridiplantae; Streptophyta; Magnoliopsida; Brassicales; Brassicaceae. The record is from RNAcentral.